CGGUAGCUCAGUUGGUAGAGCAACGGACUGAAAAUCCGUGUGUCGCCAGUUCGACUCUGG
This 60-nucleotide transfer RNA is filed under the name chicken gut metagenome. It matches the Rfam family "tRNA", at positions 7 to 62 of the family's 71-position model. Rfam says of the family: Transfer RNA (tRNA) molecules are approximately 80 nucleotides in length. Their secondary structure includes four short double-helical elements and three loops (D, anti-codon, and T loops). The record is from RNAcentral.